GAUGAACGCUGGCGGCGUGCCUAAUACAUGCAAGUCGAGCGAACGGACGAGAAGCUUGCUUCUCUGAUGUUAGCGGCGGACGGGUGAGUAACACGUGGAUAACCUACCUAUAAGACUGGGAUAACUUCGGGAAAGCGGAGCUAAUACCGGAUAAUAUUUUGAACCGCAUGGUUCAAAAGUGAAAGACGGUCUUGCUGUCACUUAUAGAUGGAUCCGCGCUGCAUUAGCUAGUUGGUAAGGUAACGGCUUACCAAGGCAACGAUGCAUAGCCGACCUGAGAGGGUGAUCGGCCACACUGGAACUGAGACACGGUCCAGACUCCUACGGGAGGCAGCAGUAGGGAAUCUUCCGCAAUGGGCGAAAGCCUGACGGAGCAACGCCGCGUGAGUGAUGAAGGUCUUCGGAUCGUAAAACUCUGUUAUUAGGGAAGAACAUAUGUGUAAGUAACUGUGCACAUCUUGACGGUACCUAAUCAGAAAGCCACGGCUAACUACGUG
This 497-nucleotide ribosomal RNA is filed under the name uncultured bacterium. RNAcentral's name for it is "partial 16S ribosomal RNA". It matches the Rfam family "Bacterial small subunit ribosomal RNA", at positions 28 to 507 of the family's 1533-position model. The record is from RNAcentral.